This 880-nucleotide ribosomal RNA is filed under the name Bostrychia moritziana. RNAcentral describes it as "eukaryotic LSU rRNA". It matches the Rfam family "Eukaryotic large subunit ribosomal RNA", at positions 1293 to 2160 of the family's 3401-position model. The record is from RNAcentral. Lineage: Eukaryota; Rhodophyta; Florideophyceae; Ceramiales; Rhodomelaceae.
CCUGCCGAAUGAAUUAGCCCUGAAAAUGAAUGACGCUGAAGCGAGCAGCCGAAACUAUGCCGUUUGAACAAUAUAUGCUUUCAGAUGAGUAGGAGGAACGUGGCGGUUGUAUAGAAGCGUAUGCGCGAGCAUGCGUGGAACGGCCGCUAGUGCAGAUCUUGGUGGUAGUAGCAAAUAUUCAAAUGAAAUCCUUGAAGGGCGACGCGGGGAAGGGUUCCACGCGAACAUUGAUUGAGUGUGGGUGAGUCGUUCCUAAGCCAAGUGGUAAUUCUUGGUUUUUUAAAAAAUCUGGCGAAAGGGAAAUAAGUUGAUAUUCUUAUACACGGAUGUGGUCGCGGUGACGCGAGACUGUGGCGGUGAAUCCGUUGGUUGCCCUGGGCAGAGAUAUCUUUUCUGUUUAACGAAGUCUGAUUGUACUCUAUGGAAUCCGCUUGUCGGGAGAAAUAGGUAUGUCACGGCAAAGCGCUAGGUUUUUUUCUGGCGUCCAAAGUGCGACUGGCGGACCUUGAAAAGCUGUCUGCAGGCUGUGAAAAAGUUGGUUUUUUUUUGCAGUGAGAUAUACCACGCCGUAACGUACCGAUAACCGCAUCAGGUCCCCAAGGUGAACAGCCUCUGCUCGAUAUGAUUAUUGUAAGUAAGGGAAGUCGGCAAAUUAGACCCGUAACUUUGGGAAAAGGGUUGGCUCUAGUGCUGCGUAGGAGUGGUUGCUGGGGUGUGGCGGAAAUUGUGUUGCUGGAGCGGACGCAGCUGCGGAGCAAUCUGUGGUGGUGGCUGAGCUGGUGAUGUGGUUUUUGUUGCUCCUGGUGGCGCCUACAGCAUGCGGCAAACUAGAACUGCAACGGACAAAGGGAAUCCGACUGUUUAAUUAAAACAAAGCAUU